CGUAGGGUCCGAGCGUUGUCCGGAAUUAUUGGGGCGUAAAGGGCUUGUAGGCGGUUUGUCGCGUCGGAAGUGAAACUCAGGGCUUAACCCUGAGCCUGCUUCCGAUACGGGCGAAACUAGAGGGAGUGCAGGGGAGGAACGGAAUUCCUGGUGGAGCGGUGGAAUGCGCAGAUAUCAGGAGGAACACCGGUGGCGAAGGCGGUUCUCUGGGCAUUACCUGACGCUGAGAAGCGAAAGCGUGGGGAGCAAACAGGCUU
This 257-nucleotide ribosomal RNA is filed under the name uncultured bacterium. RNAcentral describes it as "partial 16S ribosomal RNA". It matches the Rfam family "Bacterial small subunit ribosomal RNA", at positions 526 to 779 of the family's 1533-position model. The record is from RNAcentral.